AAAAGCGGAGGAAAAGAAACCAACAGGGAUUGCCUUAGUAGCGGCGAGUGAAGCGGCAAAAGCUCAAAUUUGAAAUCUGGCUCUUUCAGAGUCCGAGUUGUAAUUUGAAGAAGGUAUCUUUGGGUCUGGCUCUUGUCUAUGUUUCUUGGAACAGAACGUCACAGAGGGUGAGAAUCCCGUGCGAUGAGAUGAUCCAGGCCUAUGUAAAGUUCCUUCGAAGAGUCGAGUUGUUUGGGAAUGCAGCUCUAAGUGGGUGGUAAAUUCCAUCUAAAGCUAAAUAUUGGCGAGAGACCGAUAGCGAACAAGUACAGUGAUGGAAAGAUGAAAAGAACUUUGAAAAGAGAGUGAAAAAGUACGUGAAAUUGUUGAAAGGGAAGGGCUUGAGAUCAGACUUGGUAUUUUGUAUGUUACUUCUUCGGGGGUGGCCUCUACAGUUUAUCGGGCCAGCAUCAGUUUGGGCGGUAGGAGAAUUGCGUUGGAAUGUGGCACGGCUUCGGUUGUGUGUUAUAGCCUUCGUCGAUACUGCCAGCCUAGACUGAGGACUGCGGUUUAUACCUAGGAUGUUGGCAUAAUGAUCUUAAGUCGCCCGUCUUGAACCACGGACCAAAA
RNAcentral lists this ribosomal RNA (609 nucleotides) under Candida tropicalis. RNAcentral describes it as "eukaryotic LSU rRNA". It matches the Rfam family "Eukaryotic large subunit ribosomal RNA", at positions 46 to 671 of the family's 3401-position model. The record is from RNAcentral. Lineage: Eukaryota; Fungi; Ascomycota; Pichiomycetes; Serinales; Debaryomycetaceae.